AAAUUGAGUGUUAGCGCCUUGAAAUUGGAAUUCGAAAAAUGUAUCAUACCAGGACUCGGUAGCUGAAGGCCUGACAGCUGAGAAAAAGGCCGCCACAAAUUCUUGAAAUCUCUCUUUUUGGUGAAAUCAAUCCCUCUCUCAACAUUGAUAAUUGAGCAGCAUUGAGACUGCUUCUCAUGGGAGCGUUGCAUUGGCCGGGGCGUCGGUCUUGCAAUUCAUAGAGAGACGUGGUUGUGAGCACCUUCAACCUGAUGAGCUAUAAGCUCGAAAUCCGGACGGUUGAAAACAGCUGUGAGCCAUCCAUUAAUGGCCUUUGAUCUCAUGGCCCUGUCUGACAAUCCCAUCCAAAGGCCACUCGAUUUUUUAGACUGUGACGAGCCUGUGGACCACAAAGGAAACAAGACUGCCAAAGAAGAAGCAGGAUAUGGUUGUGUUAAGUUCGGCAAUUACAGAUAUGAAGAUGUUGAACGUGCAAAAGUGCAGUGCAUUGUUCUUCCCAAUAUAGAAUGCCAUGGGCCUAGGACUUUUUAUAAAGACGGCUUCCCUUGUAUUAAAUAUGGAGGGCAUUACUUCGUGACGACGCUGAUGUACAGCAUACUCCUCGGUUUCCUCGGCAUGGACAGGUUUUGCCUUGGGCAGACUGGCACUGCCGUCGGCAAGCUGCUCACACUGGGUGGCGUCGGCAUCUGGUGGGUCGUCGACAUCAUCCUGCUCGUUACAAACGGGCUGCUGCCGGAAGACGGAAGCAACUGGAACGCGUACGCCUAAGGAAAAAAGUUAAAAAACAAAAGCCAAGAUUACCCAAGACAUUUCUCCAAUUGGCAAAGGAGAGUUAGGUAUCUGGAAAUAGUUCGGCCAGAUUGAUAUUGAAUAUCUAUGUUCACCUAUAAACGUCUGACGAGAAUUAGAAUUAACGGGAGACGAGUUGUCGAGGUUUAAAAAAUAAAAAACUAAGGCUAAUCCAAGCGGACUGAAAUGUCAAGUUUACAGUUUGAACAACCACAGUAGUACGAAGAGAAAAAAAAUCCUCAUAUUGCAACA
Molecule: RNA transcript, 1041 nt
Organism: Cimex lectularius (bed bug)
Lineage: Eukaryota; Metazoa; Arthropoda; Insecta; Hemiptera; Cimicidae
Gene: amrt
Gene name: TM2 domain-containing protein CG11103
Exons: 6
Source: RefSeq, a predicted model, not a curated record